This 420-nucleotide ribosomal RNA is filed under the name uncultured bacterium. Its description in RNAcentral is "bacterial SSU rRNA". It matches the Rfam family "Bacterial small subunit ribosomal RNA", at positions 355 to 776 of the family's 1533-position model. The record is from RNAcentral.
UGGGGAAUAUUGGACAAUGGGCGGAAGCCUGAUCCAGCAACGCCGCGUGAGGGAUGACGGCCUUCGGGUUGUAAACCUCUUUCAGCACCGACGAAGGGGCUCUUUUUGGGUUUUGACGGUAGGUGCAGAAGAAGGACCGGCCAACUACGUGCCAGCAGCCGCGGUAAUACGUAGGGUCCGAGCGUUGUCCGGAAUUAUUGGGCGUAAAGGGCUCGUAGGCGGUUUGUCGCGUCGGGAGUGAAAACACGGGGCUUAACUCUGUGCUUGCUUCCGAUACGGGCAGACUAGAGGCAUUCAGGGGAGAACGGAAUUCCUGGUGUAGCGGUGAAAUGCGCAGAUAUCAGGAGGAACACCGGUGGCGAAGGCGGUUCUCUGGGAAUGUUCUGACGCUGAGGAGCGAAAGUGUGGGGAGCGAACAGG